GCUUAAACUCUUUUCUACAGUUGUAGAGAAAAGACAUUUCAAUUACAGUGGGUGUUACUGAAGCAUGUCCAAGUGUACUUUUUGUGUUCUCUAUUUUGUGUUCUUUGUUAUAUGUAGCCUACAGUGAAAGAAGAGACCCUUCACCCCUCCAGUCUGAAAUCACAAGGGAUGAGGAGGGACACACCACACCAUAGGCUGAUGGUCAAAUGGAGGAACUUCAAUCACCAGGACUGCUUGUCUCUACUGGAGAGCAUCAGUCAAGGAGUUGACAACUGAGCUGCCCUGGGGAAGGAAGUGAAGAAACUGGCCUGUUGGGGAUAACACAGGAGAACAUGUGGGCUGAAGUCUCCCUAUGGCAGAGAGGGCAAAAUUAAAUGAAGAUCUCCUGGAUCCUGAGGACAUCAACUCACCCAGCACUGAUGGGAACACCACACUGUGAUUCUUCACCCCCAGUCAAAAAAAGACUUGUUCUUUGCGCAGCUUUUGAAAGAGUCUGGCACCUUUACAUUCUGGACAGCGGAUGGAGGUUGCUUCAGGAAAAGUUACUUACACUUUUGCAAACCUCUCAAGCAAAUCAAUCAGUUCACUCCUCCUUAGUGCAGAUAUUAUCUUUGCCACAAUCAGGAAGCAGGAAGAAGUUUUUCAAAAAUCCUCGUUUGCCCUCCGAGACUGACUGGCUUCCCCGCAGCCCUACCCCGCAGGCAGCCCAGCCUCUGCGGAAGGCACCUGCUGUCAUCUCCAAACAGACGAGGAAGGGAGACAUCUAAAGGCAUCCCCGGGAAGUUCACUCUUCUUCUGCCCACGCCGAUCCCAGAUUUCGACCGCCGGUUUGACAGAGGCAAGUAUCCCCGCUGUGCAAAAGCAGACCUAGCACAGAAGCAGAAUAUUUCUGAGAAGCAUUGCGCACAUUCCCUGCAGUCGUGCCAGAAAGGACAGGAGUGUCUAAGCUACAGCCUCAUACUACAGUAUGCUGCUAGCCUCCUAGCUGCAGUUCUUGAACAGUUCUUGAUCUGCACUUCCAUCCUUUCCCCUCACACCCCGAGGUCACUGCUGAAAGGGAAAGUGCAGAUGGAAGCUGAGAUGUAGAGGCACAUCUGACAGGGGACGUGUAGGAGCAUCAGUAACACAUGCAAUAAGCAUUCAAACUUUCAGGAGGCUGCACAGCAUUCACCACUAACAGCAAGCAGGAAGGUGAAAAACAUCUCCUCCACUACAGAGCUGUCAGUGGAAGUGGCUGCCUUCCCAUCAGGAGAGUGCAACACAGAGUAGACAGUGCAUCUUGUCCGUGAGCUGGAACUGAGGCACCCGCUUCCUUCCCCUCACCCUGUCUGAGAUCAAUGGUAGCUCCAAGGCCCAAAGUGCUCCUUUCUUUCUUUGCCAUCAUCGCCACCCAAAGUGCAGCAGGUCAGGGAGCUGCUGGAGAGUGAGGCUUUUUCUAAUUCUUGGGACUGGCAUUUUCAUGACGAAAAGAAAAAAAGUUACAUUUUCAAAUCAAUAUUAGGUGAACAGUUCAGAAUAAAAGCUUUUCCCUUAGAGAUGCA
Molecule: long non-coding RNA, 1541 nt
Filed under: Coturnix japonica (Japanese quail)
Lineage: Eukaryota; Metazoa; Chordata; Aves; Galliformes; Phasianidae
Description: lncRNA (ENSCJPG00005001479.1)
Source: RNAcentral